RNAcentral lists this long non-coding RNA (14322 nucleotides) under Malus domestica (apple). RNAcentral describes it as "long non-coding RNA (MDOM_LNC017177)". Lineage: Eukaryota; Viridiplantae; Streptophyta; Magnoliopsida; Rosales; Rosaceae. The record is from RNAcentral.
GUAGAAAGCAGCAAUUCCAACUCAUCGAUACUUAUCACUGGACAUUCUUUUGGAGGCUGUGUGGCUACCCUUUUCACCUUAUGGCUGCUACAAAGCCUCAACUUGUCGAAAGCGAAGCGUCCCCUUUGCAUCACUUUCGGUUCACCCUUGACCGGUGACGAACAACUCCGACAAUGUGUGUUGCAAUUCUCAACAUGGAGUUCUUGCUUCUUGAAUGUAGCCUCUAUCAACGAUCCUGUACCUAAAGCCUUCCUAACCGCUUCGCAAGCGAGUGAUUACAAGCCUUUCGGAACAUUCCUAUUGUGCUCCGCUUCGGGUGGUUCUUGCUUUGAGGACCCAGAUGCCAUUUUGCAACUGUUGGUGGAAACCGGCUCUCAGAGUGCUCAAAUUCAAGGUCCGAAUUUGGGGUUUCAGUAUUUCGAUUACGGACAGAUUUUGAGUGAUCUCAAGCUGAAGGCAUUUUCUAGAGAUGUCUUUGAGUUGGUUGAAGAGGAUAGAGUUCCACUUAAAGCUGGAAUUAAAACACAAUUGGCAGCAAUAUUUGGAGUUAAUAGCUCACAGGUAUCCAACUUUCCACACAAAUAUUUGAUUUGAUGAUGAUUCAGAGAAUGGUUUCUGCACAAACCUGUUUAUUUUUGUCUCUUGAUUUUCUUUUACUUUAUUUAAUCCGAAGAUUGGAAAUAAACACAGGUGUGCGGGGGGCAAUCACAUCCCUUGUUUUUACUUCUACUAACUUUUUUCGCAAAUCAUUUUGUAAGUCAUUGCAGCAGCAGCAACCCGACAUAAAUUUCGGCAAUCUGAUGCAAAAGAUGGAAACUCAAGAACGUAACCACGCAAUCCAGAAGACGCAGGUUUACAGUUCUUUCUGGAAAUUGAAUGAGAUUAAAAAGUACAUGGCCUACAUGGAAGGGUACAAGAAGGAGUCCAAAGAGAUGGGAAUUGGAUACUAUGACAGGUACAGAAACAAGCGUUGCUUGGGUGACAUUAAUGCCGAAGAGUACAAGAAGAAGCUCUCUAAUUACUGGGAGGACACGGUUGCAGAAGUUGAGAGCAAUCCCCAGAAAGAAGGAGCCGCAAUGCGUACUCGUUUCCUAUUUGGUGGAACGAAUUACAGAAGGAUGAUCGAACCGCUUCACAUUGCAGAGUACUACAAGGAAGGUGGAAAAGAUUACAUAAAGGAAAGGCCUCGACAUUUCGUUCUGUUGGAGCAAUGGUUCAAUGAAGACGCGGAAAAGAAGAAGCCAGAGAGGGAGCAGAAAGAAAAGGAGAACCCCCAACUGCGUGGCGAAAGCAAGUCGAACUCAAAAGCGAAGAAUGUGGCUUCAAGUCUGAAUGAUGAUUCUUGUUUUUGGGUGCAUGUCGAGGAAGCGCAUAUCUUAUGCAAUGAACAAGCGAGUAAUCCAAAUGCCAAGCAAAUGCUGAUGGAAUUUGAGCAGUACGUGCUGAAUAAUCUCGAGAAGUUUGCAGUGACGCCUGAUAUUUUCUUGGCCCAAAGCAGCUACAUGCAAUGGUGGAACGAGUACGAAAAAAGGGUGGGACAUGACUAUUCCUCACCACUCGCCAAGGUCAUGAAGCGUCACACUUACACCAAAUAUGCGGAGGGGGUCUCGGUUCUUGCUGAUAUAUAAUGCAAGAUAAUUAAAUUUUAAGCAAGCAAUUAAUUAAAUAAAGCAAGAUUAGUUAUGCUGUAUUGCUCAUGAUCUUCAUAUGGAAAAGUGUGCAGUACUUGCCAGACUUGUUGGCGCUACUACUUUUGAAUAUUUUUGUUUGUGGUUUCGUUUUGUUUUUUGGGCUCUAGCAUCUAUCUCUCUUUGUUUAAAGUAUAAGAAUGUGUGGGGGUAUUGUUUCAAUUAUGAUGUUGUAAUUUCCACUUCAUAAAUUAAUGAAACUCAUUGCAUUUCGAUUUCACUUAGUGUGAGGCCUACUCUAUUUUCAGUCUUUCAGCACAUUGCUAUUAGUGAUUUUUAAAUAUUACUCUAUUUUCAAUCUUUCAGCACAUUGCUAUUAGUGAUUUUUAAAUAUUUGGUAUCUGCUUAUGAUUUUUUCUUUUAUCAAUUUGUAUGUGUUAAUGUAGAUGUUUUUGCUGAGUCGAUUUUAAACUAUUAUUUUAUCUUAUUUUUAGUUAUAAUUUAUUGAUUAUUUUAGUUGAAUAUUGAUACUUUAUUCUAUAUUUUAAUUAUAUAAUAUGUGAAUCUAUUUUGGACAUAAAACGAUUAAACGAAUGAAUUUUAGAAUAAUUCUAAAUCAUGAAAUUUGGAAUAAUUCUAAAUCAAGUAGAUUCUUGAGUCUUUCCUGUUCGGGAGAUAUUUGUGUUUUUGUCUUUAGUGAACCUUGUGUUGUGAGCCACUAGGGGCACAUGUUUCCCUUGUCUCCCGGUUCUCUCUCUUUUCCCUCUCCCCGUCACUCUCUUUCCCUCCCUUCACUCUCUCCUCUCAAUUCUCUCAUCUUUCUCUCUAACCUCCCCUCUCCGGGAAAGCACACAAACACAACAACAACAGCAGCAACUGCACACAACCAUCCCUCACCCUCUAUGUGAACCCCACGAACCCAAAAAUGGCGAGGAGAUUCUUCCCCAGUUUUCCAGCGAGACCCGUGAGUUUGCAGGCAUUUUCCGGCUAUCUCCGGCGCAGAGAGAGUGAGCAACAUAAAUUUAAAGGACAAUGAUUGUCUGCCCUUCACUUUCGAUGCCUUCCUGUUUUGUAUGAUCACAGUUAGCACGUUAUUAUUUUAUAUUAUUUUUUUUAUAGAUAUAAUAAAACAAAAAUAAAUAAUAAUAUAAAAUAUUAACGUUGUUUAACCGUGAUCACACAAUCAGAAGACACUAGAGGACACCGAAAGUGAAGAGCAGACAAUCGUUCAAAUUUAAAUGAAUGGUUUCGACUUCCCAAGGGGUCAAAGGUGGUAAGUCCGGGCUCCACCUUGGAUUAUGUGAGAAACAUGGAAUGGAGAGUGUUACAGAGUAAUGAAUGGUUUCCACUUUCCAAGGGGUCAAGGGUAGUAUCUGGACUCGACCUUGGAUAAUGUGAGAAACAUGGGGUGUAGUGUUACAUAGAGUAAUUGAUUCGUUUUAAUUUUUUAUGAAGCCAACCACACAUCAGGAUGUUUAUUUUUUAUUUACUUAUCUGUAUUACUAUAUUACUAUAUUAUUAUAUUUCUUUAUUUUUCUCAUAUUUUGUAUUUUAUGUAAUUUUAAAUUAUGAACUUGUUAUACAUGUAUUGUUCUUCAAUACUCCUUAUUAUCGUUAUAUGAUAUAUAUGUUUAAUGUGUUUUUAAACUUUGGAUUUGUUGAAUACUCUUUUUAUAUUUUAUCAUUCUUUUAUUAUCUUAUUUGUAGAUUUCAUUCGAGUAUAAUUUUUUGUAAGUAUCAAUAUGUACUUAUUUACAAAAUAUACAAGAAAUUUAUCUAAAUCCGCCUAAACUGCCUAGACGCCUUCCUAGAUCCCGCUUAGAUGCCUAGGCGCUAAUCAUCAGCCUGUUUUCCGACUAACGCCUAACGUUUUUUGACCUUUAAAAAAACAGAAAGCUCAACCGCCAUUCCCUAUCCCUCAGAUUAACUCGUUAGAUUUCUUUGUAAAUUUCUUUGUACACUUCCGCGAAUGUGUAGUUGCUAAAUUCAAAUCAUGUAUUAAAUUACUCCGGAAUAUUCGUAACGCAAGCUGGAAGCAACAUGGAAUAAAUAAUUAUCUGAACUUUAACACGUAAACGUAGACAAGAGGAACAGAGGCAAAGUAUCGGGGCAAACGUCCAGCCCUCCCUUCUAGGAACAAGGUCAGUUGACAACGACAUAGACCUUCCCGUGCAUUGUCGACUUGGUGGGAACUUUCCUCGUGGGGCCCUUUGGUUGGUCGGGACAAUGAAGUCCAUAAGAAUAAGGACAAUACUUAGGUCCUGACUGCUCAGGAUCAAGUAUACGGACCUCACAACGUGGUACACUAUAAAGAUGACACCUGUCUUUUUGCUUAUCCAAACACCAAACAUGGCUUUCUUUGUUCUAUAUAUGCAAACAUAAACUAUUCUAUUAACCAAACACCAUCCUUCUCUCUCGUUGAAGAAUCCCCAACCUUUAAGAGACAAACCAGCAAGAACCUCCCUCGACCCACCUCGUUCCUCCGCCGCAAACCUACCCCGUGUCCUCUCCACCGUCGAUUCACCCCGUGUCCUCAUCCAACUUCUCUCCUCCGUCAACCGACCGCCGUUCCUCUGUCAACUUCACCGGUAUUCCUCCGUCGGCCCCGCUUCCGCUUCCGCCUCCGCCUCCUCCUUCAACCUCUCUCCUCCAUCGAAGUAGGUCCAUAAGAAUUCAUGUAAGGGAGGGGAUCUUUGUUCUUCGUGUAUAGUGUGACGUCGCUGCACUGAUACAAAUCUGUGAUGGCAUAGGAAAAGACAAGGACGAUGCGGGAUAAGCCCGGGAGCAAAGAGGAAGUGAAAAGGGAUUAUGGGGUGUUUGGAUGCCUAGGUAAUUGGAUAAACAGGGUGUUUGGCUGCAUAGCUUAAACAUAUAAAGUAGUACACGUGUUCUCUUUUAAUUGAGGCAUAUCAAUGGUCAGUGAAAAUUGUCCACUUGUGAGUAUCAAGUAUUAUCUUAAGAGUAACAAUAGCUUUAGAACUGUUUCCUCUUCUCUAUAAAGGACACACCAUUCUGUCUUCCAAAUCUCUCAAUCUACUGUGUUUUUAAGCAGAUCGCCACCAAAAGCUUGAAGAUGAACAACCAGUAAGUUAAUUUCAAACUCUUCCGAUCCUUGUUUUUCUUUGAAUCCUUUGUCAUUGAUUUUUCUUAUGGUUUAUUAGGAUAAUACUUGGCUACUGAAAGAUAAAUAGGAACUCUUAUUUAAAACUCUUAGGGUUUUAAACACAGGAUUUUGUAGUUAUGAUCAUAACCGUUCAUACUAUGAUUCACAUUGUCAAGAUCAUCUCUGUAAAAAAAUAAUUGAUUUUUGUCAGAAGCGAUUUGUAUAGGAUGAUUUAUAAACGGUUUGAUGACUAAACGUCCUUCGGUUUAAUUGAUUUUUGUCAGAAGCGAUUUGUAUAGGAUGAUUUAUAAUAUCAACGUUUCUGAUUAUAAACACGAACUUCUAUAAAUUGAUAACGAAUAAUUUUGAGAAAUUUUACUCAUCUCGUUUAUUAGACCUAAGUAUGAUUCUGCUCAAUUUAGUUUGGCAAAUAUCCACUUCAUCCAUGUGUGUUGAUUGUCGUGAUUAAGCGGAUCAUGUCUAGGACGGCUUCUGGAAUCGCUAUAAGUGUUUUGCAUGAAACUUCUUGGGGUUAAAUUUGGGGGAAAAAACUUACAAAGCGCGUCUAGAUAGUAGAAGCUAUUUUUAAGAAGCAUAUGUGCUAUGUGUAGCUUUAAGAAGAGUUUCCAAGUGCUUUAUUGAGAAACUCUUUGAAUAAAGUAAAAGAAAAAUGCUUAUGAGUAAAGUAAAAGAUAAGUGCUUAUGAGUAAAGUAUCUCGAGGCAAUAUUUAAUAAGUGUUCAUAUGCUUUAACAAAGUGGAAUUCAUUCCUACUAGUCUUCUGCUAAACUGACCUUAGGAUGAUUUAUAAUAUCAACGAUUCUGAUUAUAAACACGAACUUCUAUAAAUUGAUAACGAAUAAUUUUGAGAAAUUUUGAGUAUGGGUUUCUACUCAUCUCGAUUAUUAGACCUAAGUAUGAUUCUGCUCAAUUUAGUUUGGCAAAUAUCCACUUCAUCCAUGUGUGUUGAUUGUCGUGAUUAAGCGGAUGAUGUCUAGGACGGCUUCUAGAACCGCUAUAAGUGUUUUGCAUGAAACUUCUUGGGAUUAAAUUUGGAGGAAAAAACUUACAAAGCGCGUCUAGAUAGUAGAAGCUAUUUUUAAGAAGCAUAUGUGCUAUGUGUAGCUUUAAGAAGAGUUUCCAAGUUUCCAAGUUUCCAAGUGCUUUAUUGAGAAACUCUUUGAAUAAGUAAAAGAAAAAUGCUUAUGAGUAAAGUAAAAGAUAAGUGCUUAUGAGUAAAGUAUCUCGAGGCAAUAUUUAGUAAGUGUUCAUAUGCUUUAACAAAGUGGAAUUCAUUCUUACAAGUCUUCUGCUAAACUGACCUUAUUAGAAGCACAAUGAAAUUUUAUUGAAAAUGCUUUUAUGAUUCGUACAUACUUUUAUGAUACGUUUACGCAUGGGUAAUCGAAAUGGAAAAGUGGAAUUGAAUACGUGAAACAGUUUUAACAUGAAUCUGAUUCUACCAUAUUCCAACUCUUCAAUUCAAUUUCUUUUAUUUUGAAUACGGAAUAGUAAACAGCCUAUUAAAUUUUUCUGCCAAAUAUAAUCAAAAGUACUUUUGAUUGUUCUAAUGACAUUUUUAACUAUUUCAAAAGCAUUCCCUCCAUUUAACUUUGCUUCAAUUUUUUGUUGGUGAUGGACAGAAUUAGCAGUGCGGGGCUUGAACUAGCAAAUUUGCUGGUGACUUCUCCUCCCCUGCACCAGUCAUGGGACGCGGUUCAGAAGCAAAAGCUCCAGACAGCUGCUGAUCCGAAUGCACAAAUGGCCUUAUACAUUAGUGAAACCAAGCACUCAAACACCACCAUCAUAUCUUUUCUUACUUCACCAGUCAAGGUUCAAGAUCCACAAGCGAUGAUUUCAUCGAAGACUCUCAAGGACACAAAUUUUCUUCUCUUUGAGUUUUUGUGCAGCAAAAAAACCCCAAGUUUCUCCGUCAAUGAAUUGACAAUCAACUUCUUCGCGUUGAAUCACAUCAACCUCGACCUUCUGCGAACAAAGGUAUGUACUGUUAUCUCAAAUAAUUUUUUCCAAUUUUUGUCUAUUCUUCUCCUACUGAAUCAAACUUUUUCAUCGCUUUGACGACUAUUAAUUUUAGUGAGAAACGGUUCGAAAUGAUAUUUAUAAUGAUAGAUUACUUUCUACUUAAUUAGUUUGGCUUCUUUGACAACUCUUAAUAUUAGUGAGAAACACUUACAAACACCUCAUUAUUAGUGUUAUAAGAGCCGAAUGACGUAAAAUCGAUUCUAUUUUGUUUUGUUGUUGUUCAAAAUGGUGUUGAAUGUUAUUUUUUUUACCACGAAGGAACUUAUUUGUAAAAGACGUCUCCGAAUUAAUUAUAUAGCUAGCAGUUCAGUAAUUGACUAACUUCAUGCAAUAUUUCAGCUGGUAGAAAGCAGCAAUUCCAACUCAUCGAUACUUAUCACUGGACAUUCUUUUGGAGGCUGUGUAGCUACCCUUUUCACCUUAUGGCUGCUACAAAGCCUCAACUUGUCGAAAGCGAAGCGUCCCCUUUGCAUCACUUUUGGUUCACCCUUGACCGGUGACGAACAACUCCAACAAUGUGUGUUGCAAUUCUCAACUUGGAGUUCUUGCUUCUUGAAUGUAGCCUCUAUCAACGAUCCUGUACCUAAAGCCUUCCUAACAGCUUCGCAAGCAAGCAAUUACAAGCCUUUUGGAACAUUCCUAUUGUGCUCCGCUUCGGGUGGUUCUUGCUUUGAUGACCCUGAUGCCAUUUUGCAACUGUUGGUGGACACCGGCUCUCAGAGUGCUCAAAUUCAAGGUCCGAAUUUGGGGUUUCAGUAUUUUGAUUACGGACAGAUUUUGAGUGAUCUCAAGCUGAAGGCGUUUUCAAGAGAUGUCUUUGAGUUGGUUGAAGAGGAUAGAGUUCCACUUAAAGCUGGAAUUAAAACACAAUUGGCAGCAAUAUUUGGAGUUAAUAGCUCACAGGUAUCCAACUUUCCACACAAAUAUUUGAUUUGAUGAUGAUUCAGAGAAUGGUUUCUGCACAAACCUGUUUAUUUUUGUCUCUUGAUUUUCUGUUACUUUAUUUAAUCCGAAGAUUGGAAAUAAACACGGGUGUGCUGGGGGCAAUCACAUUCCAUGUUUUUUUCGACCUAUAUAUAUUUUUACUUCUACUAACUUUUUUCGCAAAUCAUUUUGUAAAAGUCAUUGCAGCAGCAACAACCCGACAUAAAUUUCGGCAAUCUGAUGCAAAAGAUGGAAACUCAAGAACGUAACCACGCAAUCCAGAAGACGCAGGUUUACAGUUCUUUCUGGAAAUUGAAUGAGAUUAAAAAGUACAUGGCCUACAUGGAAGGGUACAAGAAGGAGUCCAAAGAGAUGGGAAUUGGAUACUAUGACAGGUACAGAAACAAGCGUUGCUUGGGUGACAUUAAUGCCGAAGAGUACAAGAAGAAGCUCUCGAAUUACUGGGAGGACACUGUUGCGGAAGUUGAGAGCAAUCCCCAGAAAGAAGGAGCCACAAUGCGUACUCGUUUCCUAUUUGGUGGAACGAAUUACAGAAGGAUGAUCGAACCGCUUCACAUUGCAGAGUACUACAAGGAAGGUGGAAAAGAUUACAUAAAGGAAAGGCCUCGACAUUUCGUUCUGUUGGAGCAAUGGUUCAAUGAAGACGCGGAAAAGCAGAAGCCAGAGAGAGGGCAGAAAGAAAAGGAGAACCCCCAACUGCGUGGCGAAAGCAAGUCGAACUCAAAAGCGAAGAAUGUGGCUUCAAGUCUGAAUGAUGAUUCUUGUUUUUGGGUGCAUGUCGAGGAAGCGCAUAUCUUAUGCAAUGAACAAGCGAGUAAUCCAAAUGCCAAGCAAAUGCUGAUGGAAUUUGAGCAGUACGUGCUGAAUAAUCUCGAGAAGUUUGCAGUGACACCUGAUAUUUUCUUGGCCCAAAGCAGCUACAUGCAAUGGUGGAACGAGUACGAAAAAUGGAUGGGAAAUGACUAUUCCUCACCACUCGCCAAGGUCAUGAAGCGUCACACUUAUACCAAGUAUGCGGAGGGGGUCUCGGUUCUUGCCGAUAUAUAAUCCAAGAUAAUUAAGUUUUAAGCAAGUAAUUAAAUCAGAUAAAGCAAGAUUAGUUAUGCUGUAUUGCUCAUGAUCUUCAUAUAGAAAGUUGUGCAGUACUUGUAGGGCUUGUUGGUGCUACUACUCUCGAAUAUUUUUGUUUGUGUUUUCAUUUUGUUUUGGGCUCUACCUCUCUUGUACAAAGAAAAAGAAUGUGUGGGGGGUAUUGUUUAAUUACGAUGUUAUAAUUUCCACUUCAUCGUUGCAUUUUGAUUUCAUGUGAGGGCUAUCCUAAUCAGUAAUUGGAAUAAGUUAAGACUUGCGAUAAUCAUAGUUUAUGUUGUAUUAAUCUUGCUUAUGAAUCUAUAAAGUGCACAACUUAGUCUAGUUUCUUUGGCGUUUUUGCACAAAAUGUACACAAACUUCUAAUUUCUUUGGCUUUUUCACACAAUACGUAAUGUGUUAUCACGGAACAAAAAGAUAUAUACGUCAAGAUAGAUAGGCCCAUGACACAAUACUUAUAUUACAACUACAUAUAAGAGACUUGUUGAAUACUUAAGAGCAAGUCCACCCCUAAAAAUUUAGCGCCAGCACCCGUAUUUAUCCACUCAAGUGAACAGUAAUAUACUCCAGUGAACAAUAAUAGCCAAAGCAUCUCCACCCCUAACAAAAAAUAGCUUAGUCAAUUUUAUUAAAAUAUUAUUAUUUUUUAUUAUAAAAUAUUAUUAUUUUUAUUAUAAAAUAAUAAAAAUAAUAAUUUUAUUAAAAAAAAAAGAAGGAAAAGUCAGGAACCUCCACGGUUCUACUAGAACUCUCUAUACUCUCCCUCUACAUCCCCAAACGCCAAAUGCCACUCCUGACGCUAACUCGCUUCAACCUCCCUCUACAUCUCUCUCUCUCUCUCUCUGUUGGGUGGAGCUCUGCAAAAAUCCACCACCAUGUGCAAUGAUAAUCCCACCGGAUUCCAACUUUCCUUCCGGUUCACAAUCCCCAGUCUUUAUUCCUCCACAAUAUUUCAACCAUUUUGCCUAUCAAAUUCCCUAUCAAUCCAACCUCACUAACCCAAUUUGAUCUUUUCCUCAAUCGAUGGUUCCCUCGGCAGUAGUCGCCGCGGAUCCAGCCUAUCACCUACCCGACACCGACCCGUAUGACAAUUCGGGUUGGUACCCGUGGACCCGUGUUGGAUUUCGAGGUCAGACGCCUUUUGGUGAAGGCCUCGAAAUCUCCCACUGCCCCAGAAUCAACCUCAGCCCUUUGCGACGUGUUGAUCAUGUGGGAGGUUGAUGGCCCGACAUGUGGGUCUGUCGAUUUUAGGCCGGUCUCUUGCCUGGCUUGGGCUGGGUGUCGAUCAAAAUGCUCGGCUGGAGUGGAUAGCCUGGGUGUCGGGCUGGUUUUUUGGCUGGGUGCUGGCCUAUCAGUUCCCCGGUGGAACUGCUCUAAAGGAACACACAUUAUGUACGUGUUCUCAUGUUUUCAUUAUGUUCCAAUAACUCAUAAUAUAUAUAUCAUUCCGUUUUGUAAUUUAUGAUGAAAUCAUAUAUAUUUUAAGUAUAAACAAACACUUAUUUACACGAAAUAAUAAUAGAUUUAAUUAAAUCCGCCUAGUCUGCCUAGCUACCUGGACGCUAGGUCUCAGCCCACCGCUCGACUAAUCUGCGUUAACCAUAUUGUGUAGCUAGUCGGUGAAUUCAGACAAAAAAAACAGAAAGCUCAACGGCCAUUCCCUAUCCCUCAGAUUAACUCGUUAGAUUUCUUUGUAAAUUUCUUUGUAUUCUUCCGCGAAUGUUUAGUUGCUAAAAUCAAAUCAUGUAUUAAAUUACUCUGAAAUUUUCGUUACGGAUGAACAAGCUGGAAGCAACCGGGAAUGAAUAAUUAUCUGAACUUCAACACGUAAACGUAGAUAAGAAGACCGGAGGCAAAGCAUCGAGGCAAAAGGUCCAGCCCUCCCUCCUCCGGGAACCUUCCAGGAACAAGAUCCGUUAAUAUACUUUCCUGUGCAUUGUCGACUUGGCGGGAAAUUCCCUCGUGGGGACCUUUGAGACAAUGAAGUCCAUAAGAAUAAUAAUAGCUUUAGAACUGUUUCCUCUUCUAUAGAAAGGACACUGACCGUUCUGUUUUCCAAAUCUCUCAAUCUACUGUGUUUUUAAGCAGAUCGCCAAAAGCUUGAAGAUGAACAACCAGUAAGUUAACUUCAAACUCCUCCGAUCCUUGUUUUUCUUUGAAUCCUUUGUCAUUGAUUUUUCUUAUGGUUUAUUAGACCUAAUUAUGAUUCUGCUCAAUGUAGUUUGGCAAAUUUCCACUUCAUCCAUGUGUGUCGAUUGUCGUGAUUAAGCGGACAUGUCUAAGACGGCUUCUGGAAUGGCUAUAAGUGUUUUGCAUGAAACUUCUUAGGGUUAAUUUUGGGGGAAAAAACUUACAAAGCGUGUGUAGAUAGUAGAAGCUUUUUUUAAGAAGCAUAUGCGCUGUGUAGCUUCAAGAAGCAUUUCCAAGUUUCCAGAAACACUUGAGUAAAGUAAAACAAAAACGCUUAUGAGUAAAGUAAAAGAUAAGUGCUUAUGAGUAAAGUUUCUCGCGGAGGCAAUAUUUAAUAAAUGUUAAUAUGGUUUAACAAAGUGGAAUUUCAUUCUUACAAGUCUGACCUUAUUAGAAGCAUAAUUAAUUUUUAUAGAAAAUGCUUUUAUGAUUCGUACACACUUUUGUGACACGUUUUUAUUUAUUUUUUAUUUAUAAAGAAACGAUAUUAUCUACGCUAAAAGGACAGGGAUGAGCUUAACCUCAUAAUUGGCUAUCAAUAAUGUAGUUCAAAUUCGACUUUAACAAGAAUCGAACCUAAGACCUCUCACUUACAAGUAAAGAGGAAUACCACUAGACCGUAGUACUAAGUGACACUUCUAUGACACGUUUACGCAAGGGUAAUCGAAAUGAAAAAGCAUAAUUGAAUUUCAAUUACGGAGUACUCCAGUAUUUAUCAAAUAUUGUAAUCCAACUCCAAAAUUUGGAAAAAUUCAGUUAUCUACAAUUUUAUGGAAAUUAAAUUCCGGAUUAUUGGGGGAAUCGAAAUAAAUUGUUUCAAACCAUUAUACUCUCAUUUAUUUCCAAAAUUUUAAGAUUGUCCUUCGCAUUUACCCAACACCAAAUUUUGUUCCCUCAACAAAAAAAAAUGAAAAAUGAAAAGAAUUACAGUUUUUCUCACAAAGUUAAAAUAAAAAAAUGUUUUACCAAUAAAAUAAAAUAAAUAAAUAAAAAUUAGCAUAUAAAGUACAUUACUAGAAUUGAAGCAUUUUAGUAAUCACAUCGAUUUUCAUUCUGAUUCAUGUGAGUUUAUAAACAGUUUCUAUGGUUUAGUACUAUUUCUAAUUUGAUUUCUAAAAAUUUUAGUAAACAAUUUCAACAUGAAUUUGAUUCUAUCAUAUUCCAACUCUUCAAUUCAAUGCCUCAUCAACUCAAUUCCUUUAUUCUGAAUACGAAAUAGUAAACAACCUAUUAAAUUUUUCUGCCAAAUAUAAUCAAAAGUACUUUUGAUUGUUCCACUGACAUUUUUAACGACUUCAAAAGCAUUCCCUCCAUUUAACUUUGCUUCAAUUUUUUGUUGGUGAUGGACAGAAUUAGCAGUGCGGGGCUUGAACUAGCAAAUUUGUUGGUGACUUCUCCUCCCCUGCACCAGUCAUGGGACACAGUUCAGAAGCAAAAGCUCCAAACAGCUGCUGAUCCGAAUGCACAAAUGGCCUUCUACAUUAGUGAAACCAAGCACUCAAACACCACCAUCGUAUCUUUCUUACUUCUGUUGGAAAUUUAAGUAGUUUGAAUAGAAAUUUCUUUGUCCCACAUUGGCCAUUUCCAAAAGAUUUUAUCACUCUAUAAGGCUUUGUUCUGUAUAGAAAGUGAUUGGAGUAAUAGGCCUAGAGACUAAAAUUGGGCUCACCCUUAGGGUUGGGCUUUGGGGUGUACUAAUUAAUUGGUAAUUAAUAUAUAUUUAAUUGUCAAAAGAUGGGCCUUGGGCUCUAAUAAUUAAAUUAAUUAAUUAAUUUUAAUUUCGAAUUUAAAUUAAUUAAUUAUUUUUACCAACAGACUUAUCUUUUCAGAUGAAGUAUGAAGUGUGAGAACACAGAAACAAAAACACCCUUUUCAGCAGAUGCCUCCCAACAGAUGCAUCCCUUCCUUAUACCUAUUGCGAACAGGUAUAAUCACAGUAUAUAUACAUCCAUCUGCAUGGCAUUUAGAACAAAGAAAAAAUCAUAAAUCUUCUCUUGCAAUCAUAAACAUCCUUUCUGAGAGAACCACAUUAAUAUUCGCCAGAAGUCAAUUUUCAGGUAUUGGAAUUUUUGACUUAGAUUGUUGAAUCCUGAUGAAGCAGAUGUCCGUAGAACUACAAGCACUGAGUAGGGGCGAAAUUUCUGUUUCAAGGACAUUGCGGUACGCAAGCCUCGAUCUUUUAUUACUCUGCUUAAUUAAUAUUUCAUCUUGUUGAGUCUCUGGAAUAUAUUUAUUCGUAUUUAUUAUUAGCAUAUUUAUUUUAUUACGGAUUGUUGACAUAUAUCCUACAACUUCACUAGUCAAGGUUCAAGAUCCACAAGCGAUGAUUUCAUCGACGACUCUCAAAGACACAAAUUUUCUUCUCUUUGAGUUUUUGUGCAGCAAAAAAACCCCAAGUUUCUCCGUCAAUGAAUUGACAAUCAAAUUAUUCGCCUUGAAUCACACCGACCUCCAUCUUCUGCGAACAAAGGUGUGUACUGUUAUCUCUGAUAAUAUUUUAAAAAGAAGUUUCUUCGCUUACGAGAAUUCCUUAUAAUAAGAACUUGUUCAUUCAUUGCCUGCUUAAAAAUAGACAUAGACACGGAAGCAAGGACGAAUCAAAUAAAAAAAAAUUCCAAUUUUUGUCUCUUCUUCUCCUACUGAAUCAAACUUUUUCAUCGCUUUGACGACUAUUAAUUUUAGUGAGAAACGGUUAGAAAUGAUAUUUAUAAUGUUAGAUUACUUUCUACUUAAUUAGUUUGGCUUCUUUGACAACUCUUAAUAUUAGAAACACUUACAAACACCUCAUUAUUAGUGUUAUAAGAGCCGAAUGUCGUAAAGUUUAUUCUAUUUUGUUUUGUUGUUGUUCAAAAUGGAGUUGAAUGUUUUUUUUUUAACCACGAAUAUAUUUUGAGGAACUUAUUUGUAAAGACGUUUCCGAAUUAAUUAUAAAGCAGUUCAGUAAUUGACUAACUUCAUGUAAUAUUUCAGCUGGUAGAAAGCAGCAAUUCCAACUCAUCGAUACUUAUAACUGGACAGUCUUUUGGAGGCUGUGUAGCUACCCUUUUCACCUUAUGGCUGCUACAAAGCCUCAACUUGUCGAAAGCAAAGCGUCCCCUUUCCAUCACUUACGGUUCACCCUUGACCGGUGACAAACAACUCCGACAAUGUGUGUUGCAAUUCUCAACAUGGAGUUCUUGCUUCUUGAAUGUAGCCUCUAUCAACGAUCCUGUACCUAAAGCCUUCCUAACCGCUUCGCAAGCGAGUGAUUACAAGCCCUUCGGAACAUUCCUAUUGUGCUCCGCUUCGGGUGGUUCUUGCCUUGAGGACCCUGAUGCCAUUUUGC